Molecule: unclassified non-coding RNA, 788 nt
Filed under: uncultured bacterium
Lineage: Bacteria
Description: partial contains 16S ribosomal RNA, 16S-23S ribosomal RNA intergenic spacer, and 23S ribosomal RNA
Rfam family: Bacterial large subunit ribosomal RNA (bases 657-788)
Source: RNAcentral
UGCGGCUGGAGCCCCUCCUUUCUCGGAAGCAGGAGACAGGAGUCAGUUGGCAGUUGACAGUGAUGUCGACGCGAUUGGCUGCUGGUUCUUCCCGGNCGCGGCAGCGCCCACCANCUUAUCGGUUGUGUUCAGGUAACAGGCAACAGGUCACAGCGGUCAGCAAGAGCGGAGUGCGCGGCGCGCGCUGCUUCUGUUGCCUGUUCCCUGAUCGCUGUUACCUGCCCGGGGCCUGUAGCUCAGUAGGUUAGAGCACCGUCUUGAUAAGGCGGGGGUCGAUGGUUCGAAUCCAUCCAGACCCACCAGGAAUGCGGGGCUGUAGCUCAGUUGGGAGAGCGCCUGCUUUGCAAGCAGGAGGCCGUCGGUUCGAUCCCGUCCAGCUCCACCAUCUCAGGAGUCAGAGGACAGGGAACAGAGGUCAGAAGAAGUCAUAGGCAAGCGGAUAGGCGUUUGCUUCUGGCUUUUUGGGCCAGUGAUCGGUUGUUCUUUAACAAUGUGGAAGAAGUGAAGGGUCUUGCUCUGACGGGCGGGUUCUGGCGCGAGCCGGGGCGUGCGCGGCGGGGCGAGACUGGGUUGAAUUGUAUCGACCCGUUCGUCCUCGAGUUCGGGGCGGGCGGGAGCGCGAAUGCCCGUGGCGCUGGCAGUGUGCAGCGUUAUGGGGUCAAGCGACUAAGUGCAUGUGGUGGAUGCCUUGGCGAUCACAGGCGAGGAAGGACGUGGCAGCCUGCGAAAAGCUGCGGGGAGCUGGCAAACGAGCAUUGAUCUGCAGAGGUCCGAAUGGGGAAACCCGG